Small nucleolar RNA from Lactuca sativa (garden lettuce), 108 nucleotides. The record is from RefSeq and is a predicted model, not a curated record. Lineage: Eukaryota; Viridiplantae; Streptophyta; Magnoliopsida; Asterales; Asteraceae.
CGAUCAUGAUGUGGACAGUUUCCUUAGUAGGCCCUUGUAUCUCUCUCAUGCCUUAUAAAGGGACUCUCUAGCUUGUUGUUCAAAGUUGGAAAUAGCUUUCUUCAACUU